Rattus norvegicus (Norway rat) is the source of this 187-nucleotide small nuclear RNA. Ensembl annotates it as U2 spliceosomal RNA. Lineage: Eukaryota; Metazoa; Chordata; Mammalia; Rodentia; Muridae. The record is from Ensembl.
AUCGCUUCUCGGCCUUUUGGCUAAGAUCAAGUGUAGUAUGUGCAUCUGUGCAUAUACCUGCAGGUGAAUUUGGCAGCUGAAGACUUCAGAUCUGUAGAAUCAAUCUAUGGAGCUAUAUGGGCCAUUGUGAGCCUCCUGACAUGGACCCUAGGAAGUGCACUGUAAAAACACUGUGUGCUAUUACUCA